Molecule: ribosomal RNA, 484 nt
Filed under: uncultured bacterium
Lineage: Bacteria
Description: bacterial SSU rRNA
Rfam family: Bacterial small subunit ribosomal RNA
Source: RNAcentral
GAUGAACGCUGGCGGCGUGCUUAACACAUGCAAGUCGAACGGAGGUUAUGUGGGUGCUUGCACCGGUAUAACUUUAGUGGCGGACGGGUGAGUAACGCGUGGGCAACCUGGCCUGUGGAGGGGGAUAACAAUGAGAAAUCAUUGCUAAUACCGCAUAAGCUUACACUAAAGCAUUUUAGAGUAAGAAAUGAUUUAUCGCCGCAGGAUGGGCCCGCGUCUGAUUAGCUAGUUGGUGUGGUAACGGCAUACCAAGGCAACGAUCAGUAGCCGACCUGAGAGGGUGAACGGCCACAUUGGGACUGAGACACGGCCCAAACUCCUACGGGAGGCAGCAGUGGGGAAUAUUGCACAAUGGGGGAAACCCUGAUGCAGCGACGCCGCGUGGGUGAAGACGGCCUUCGGGUUGUAAAGCCCUGUUGAGGGGGACGAUAAUGACGGUACCCCUUUAGAAAGCCACGGCUAACUACGUGCCAGCAGCCGCAGU